This 345-nucleotide long non-coding RNA is filed under the name Brassica napus (rape). Its description in RNAcentral is "long non-coding RNA (BNAP_LNC002796)". The record is from RNAcentral. Lineage: Eukaryota; Viridiplantae; Streptophyta; Magnoliopsida; Brassicales; Brassicaceae.
GAUCUGUUCAAUUUUUUGAAUUCGAGUUUUUUGCUCAAUCCUAAAUAGUGACAUAAAAAUCAAAUGGCAUCAUAUUUAAAAAAAAUACACCUGCACGGAGGGUGCGGGUCAAAAUCUAGUGUAUAUAUUAUGCUUGAUCCAUUUUUUUGUGCACACACACACACUUAAUCUGCAGUGUUUGAUACAUACACCGUUUAUCUGCCUGUUAUUCAAAGCCUGUGAUUCUUAUUUAUGAUUUUAGUGGUGACAAAUAAUAUUAGGAUUUUAGUAAGGAAAAAAAGUUAGAAAUAGCUAAAGCCGGUUCUUUAUCUAAAGCAAAGGUAUAAUUACCCAUUACGUCAUUAG